Long non-coding RNA from Andrographis paniculata, 429 nucleotides. RefSeq lists it as uncharacterized. The transcript has 3 exons. The record is from RefSeq and is a predicted model, not a curated record. NCBI's taxonomy places the organism in Eukaryota, Viridiplantae, Streptophyta, Magnoliopsida, Lamiales, Acanthaceae.
UGGAGAUUACUAGCAUUAAUGGUGCUGCCUGCUUCUGUAAGUUUCUAGCUCUUUCAUGGUGGUGGACCCCGAACAUAUUCCAUUGAUUUGAUGUUUCUUUAGGCGAUUUGAUCACCAUCUCCAUAAUCAAAUCCAAUCGAUUGGAUUAAGUAAAUAUCGAGUGGUUUCGCUGUCGAUGGAUUCUAUUCUCACUGGCUACAACAGAGAAUUGAUGCUGAAAUUCAGAUACAGAUACAGAGACAGUUGCAAAGCAAUAGAUUGUGAGUUUCCUUACGUUGUAUGGGAGACUAGCGCCAGCGAUGAUUCAACCGCCAUUGCCAUCAUCUCCACCGGUGCUUGAACUUCCACCCUUCUCGUGAUGAUAGUACUCCCUCGGUAUGUUGUGAUGGUUGUCCGUGGUGCCAUCCACGUCCCCUGCCCCGACUCUCA